Small nucleolar RNA from Arabidopsis lyrata subsp. lyrata, 95 nucleotides. The record is from Rfam. NCBI's taxonomy places the organism in Eukaryota, Viridiplantae, Streptophyta, Magnoliopsida, Brassicales, Brassicaceae.
GUUUGGCAAUGAUGAUGAAUUGUAACAGCUUGAUACGCCAGUUCUGCUUCAGAUAAUUCUUGAUCGAAAAAGCUUUAUUCCUAUCUGAGCCUUUA